UGCAAAUGAUGUUUAUACUCACGAUGGUCUUCCAAGCCUCAGAGGUGAAGAGGUUUUGACGAAAGUGCCAGAUGGCUUUACUGAUUCACUGCA
This 93-nucleotide small nucleolar RNA is filed under the name Xenopus laevis (African clawed frog). Its description in RNAcentral is "Small nucleolar RNA SNORD35". It matches the Rfam family "Small nucleolar RNA SNORD35". From Rfam's summary of the family: U35 is a C/D box snoRNA located in intron 6 of ribosomal protein L13A and intron 3 of ribosomal protein S11 in humans and at homologous positions in mouse and chicken ribosomal protein genes. RNAcentral also lists the same sequence under 1 other name. The record is from Rfam by way of RNAcentral. Lineage: Eukaryota; Metazoa; Chordata; Amphibia; Anura; Pipidae.